CACGGAUCCAGAGUUUGAUCAUGGCUCAGGAUGAACGCUAGCGAUAGGCUUAACACAUGCAAGUCGAGGGGCAGCAGGGACUUCGGUCCGCUGGCGACCGGCGCACGGGUGCGUAACGCGUAUGCAACUUGCCCUGCACAGGAGGAUAACCCGUCGAAAGACGGACUAAUACUGCGUACACUCACUGGGAGGCAUCUCUUAGUGAGGAAAGAAAUUCGGUGUAGGAUAGGCAUGCGUCCCAUUAGCUAGUUGGUGAGGUAACGGCUCACCAAGGCGACGAUGGGUAGGGGAACUGAGAGGUUUAUCCCCCACACUGGUACUGAGACACGGACCAGACUCCUACGGGAGGCAGCAGUGAGGAAUAUUGGUCAAUGGGCGCGAGCCUGAACCAGCCAAGUCGCGUGAAGGAUGACUGUCUUAUGGAUUGUAAACUUCUUUUGUAUGGGAAUAACGGGGCGGACGUGUCCGCUUGUGAAUGUACCAUACGAAUAAGCAUCGGCUAACUCCGUGCCAGCAGCCGCGGUAAUACGGAGGAUGCGAGCGUUAUCCGGAUUUAUUGGGUUUAAAGGGUGCGUAGGCGGCUUGUUAAGUCAGCGGUGAAAUCGUGGGGCUCAACCCCGCAACUGCCGUUGAAACUGGCGAGCUUGAGUGUAGAUGAGGUAGGCGGAAUUCGUGGUGUAGCGGUGAAAUGCAUAGAUAUCACGAGGAACUCCGAUUGCGCAGGCAGCUUACUAAGGUACAACUGACGCUGAAGCACGAAAGCGUGGGUAUCAAACAGGAUUAGAUACCCUGGUAGUCCACGCAGUAAACGAUGAUAACUGGGCGUAUGCGAUAUACAGUAUGCUCCUAAGCGAAAGCGUUAAGUUAUCCACCUGGGGAGUACGCCGGCAACGGUGAAACUCAAAGGAAUUGACGGGGGCCCGCACAAGCGGAGGAACAUGUGGUUUAAUUCGAUGAUACGCGAGGAACCUUACCCGGGCUUGAACUGUAGGGGACGACAUCAGAGAUGGUGUUUUCUUCGGACCCCUAUGGAGGUGCUGCAUGGUUGUCGUCAGCUCGUGCCGUGAGGUGUUAGGUUAAGUCCUGCAACGAGCGCAACCCCUGUCACUAGUUGCCAUCAUUCAGUUGGGGACUCUAGUGAGACUGCCUACGCAAGUAGAGAGGAAGGUGGGGAUGACGUCAAAUCAUCACGGCCCUUACGUCUUGGGCCACACACGUAAUACAAUGGCCGGUACAGAGGGCAGCUACACGGCGAUGUGAUGCAAAUCUCGAAAGCCGGUCUCAGUUCGGAUUGGAGUCUGCAACUCGACUCUAUGAAGCUGGAAUCGCUAGUAAUCGCGCAUCAGCCAUGGCGCGGUGAAUACGUUCCCGGGCCUUGUACACACCGCCCGUCAAGCCAUGGAAGUUUGGGGUACCUGAAGUCGGUGACCGUAAAAGGAGCUGCCUAGGGUAAAACAAGUAACUAGGGCUAAGUCGUAACAAGGUAGCCGUAAGCUUCAC
Molecule: ribosomal RNA, 1500 nt
Filed under: uncultured bacterium
Lineage: Bacteria
Description: bacterial SSU rRNA
Rfam family: Bacterial small subunit ribosomal RNA
Source: RNAcentral